UGGGGAAUAUUGCACAAUGGGCGCAAGCCUGAUGCAGCCAUGCCGCGUGUAUGAAGAAGGCCUUCGGGUUGUAAAGUACUUUCAGUCGGGAGGAAGGUGGUAAGGUUAAUAACCUUGGCAAUUGACGUUACCGACAGAAGAAGCACCGGCUAACUCCGUGCCAGCAGCCGCGGUAAUACGGAGGGUGCAAGCGUUAAUCGGAAUUACUGGGCGUAAAGCGCACGCAGGCGGUUGAUUGAGUCAGAUGUGAAAUCCCCGGGCUUAACCCGGGAAUUGCAUCUGAUACUGGUCAGCUAGAGUCUUGUAGAGGGGGGUAGAAUUCCAUGUGUAGCGAUGAAAUGCGUAGAGAUGUGGAGGAAUACCGGUGGCGAAGGCGGCCCCCUGGACGAAGACUGACGCUCAGGUGCGAAAGCGUGGGGAGCAAACAGG
Molecule: ribosomal RNA, 429 nt
Filed under: Chloroflexota bacterium
Lineage: Bacteria; Bacillati; Chloroflexota
Description: Chloroflexi bacterium partial 16S ribosomal RNA
Rfam family: Bacterial small subunit ribosomal RNA
Source: RNAcentral